Acanthisitta chloris (rifleman) is the source of this 46-nucleotide non-coding RNA. The record is from Rfam. Lineage: Eukaryota; Metazoa; Chordata; Aves; Passeriformes; Acanthisittidae.
CUGAAGGCUCUUUUCAGAGCCACAGAGUCACAGAGAAGUUGGAAAU